Long non-coding RNA from Haplochromis burtoni (Burton's mouthbrooder), 887 nucleotides. RefSeq lists it as uncharacterized. The record is from RefSeq and is a predicted model, not a curated record. NCBI's taxonomy places the organism in Eukaryota, Metazoa, Chordata, Actinopteri, Cichliformes, Cichlidae. The transcript has 2 exons.
UUUAAUAAAAAGCGGCGGGGGGUUCGCCGCCGUUGGUCGUCAGCCAUGAGCGAGCUAGCCUAUUUUGUGGGGGUUUUUCGUUCGGUGGUAUGUCGGCCACAAGCCGCACUUAAUGAAAUACACGUAGGGGGUGUCGCGGAGGCUUGUCAGACAUGAGCGCGCCUGUUUGGUAGGGAUGCUUGUCGGAUUUUCAUUGUUUUGUAACAUGGCGAUUUUUAUACGAAAACUUUAAAGCACUAUUUUAUGAUGGAAAACAUUCAAGUUGCUCACGAGGGCAUUCAAGCAGCACGAUUGAGUAAAACAGUCUAGGGGGAAUCUUAAAUGAUGUAGUAAACACAUAUAAAUACACAAUAAAAGAAACAUUAAUUGCCUUAAGAAAGUUGAGAAGAACGACCUUAGCCGCAUCCAGCUCCUGGUGUAAAAAGCCUCGUGUUCGCGUUAAAGCAGACGGCAAGGUGGCUUUCAGUCCUUGCAAAAGUGCAUGUAGACCCCGUAGUAUCCAAAAAUAUGAGAUGCGCAUGCGUGCUCAGGCACAGAAAGGCGCCAACAGCUUCAACUCAUGUAAAACUUGAAUUCAUUCAUUUUGCCAGCAAUAAAUUUCAGCUGAGACCAACUUUUGCUCCAAAACGUUAAAUGAUUAGUUGAAACCCUUAAUGUAUUUGAGUUUAUGGGGCAACUCAGCUUUUAUUGUUGAAUUGUGAAAGAAAUGACUGUAAGCUCAGCAAGUUUGAUUUUUUUUACAGUGCAGGGACGACAGCUCUGAGGCCCGCCACACUAAAAAACACAAAAAGAGUAGAAAAAGAAGAAAUCAAAGGAUAAAGACAGACACCGUGAGAGUGGAAGGUCUGACGGAGAUUCAGACAGAGCUGCGGAAAUGAAGAAGAAAA